RNAcentral lists this ribosomal RNA (255 nucleotides) under uncultured bacterium. Its description in RNAcentral is "partial 16S ribosomal RNA". It matches the Rfam family "Bacterial small subunit ribosomal RNA", at positions 524 to 777 of the family's 1533-position model. The record is from RNAcentral.
GACGAACCGUGCGAACGUUGUUCGGAAUCACUGGGCUUAAAGGGCGCGUAGGCGGGCUGUCAAGUCCGGGGUGAAAUCCUCCAGCUCAACUGGAGAAUGGCCUCGGAUACUGAUGGUCUCGAGGAGGAUAGGGGCACACGGAACUGUGGGUGGAGCGGUGAAAUGCGUUGAUAUCCACAGGAACUCCGGUGGCGAAAGCGGUGUGCUGGAUCCUUUCUGACGCUGAUGCGCGAAAGCGUGGGGGAGCAAACAGGG